UUGGAGGGCAAGUCUGGUGCCAGCAGCCGCGGUAAUUCCAGCUCCAAUAGCGUAUAUUAAAGUUGUUGCAGUUAAAAAGCUCGUAGUUGAAUUUCGGGGUCAGCAAGUUGGUCGCGCCACUGGUAUGCACUGGCUUUGCUGAUUCCUCCUUCUUGUAGAACCGUAAUGCCAUUAAGUUGGUGUUGCGGGGAAACAGGACUGUUACUUUGAAAAAUUAGAGUGUUUAAAGCAGGCUAACGCUUGAAUACAUUAGCAUGGAAUAAUGAAAUAGGACGACGAUCCUAUUUUGUUGGUUUCUAGGAUUGACGUAAUGAUUAAUAGGGAUAGUUGGGGGCAUUAGUAUUCAAUUGUCAGAGGUGAAAUUCUUGGAUUUAUUGAAGACUAACUACUGCGAAAGCAUUUGCCAAGGAUGUUUUCAUUAAUCAAGAACGAAAGUUGGGGGAUCGAAGACGAUCAGAUACCGUCGUAGUCUUAACCAUAAACUAUGCCGACUAGGGAUCGGAUGAUGUUAAUUUUAUAAUGACUCAUUCGGCGCCUUACGGGAAAC
RNAcentral lists this ribosomal RNA (547 nucleotides) under uncultured Glomeromycotina. RNAcentral's name for it is "SSU rRNA". It matches the Rfam family "Eukaryotic small subunit ribosomal RNA", at positions 548 to 1098 of the family's 1831-position model. Lineage: Eukaryota; Fungi; Glomeromycota. The record is from RNAcentral.